Molecule: ribosomal RNA, 439 nt
Filed under: uncultured bacterium
Lineage: Bacteria
Description: partial 16S ribosomal RNA
Rfam family: Bacterial small subunit ribosomal RNA
Source: RNAcentral
CUACGGGUCACACCAGUGGGGAAUAUUGCACAAUGGAGGAAAUUCUGAUGCAGCAACGCCGCGUGGAGGAUGACACUUUUCGGAGCGUAAACGGCGGGGAGAGAGGAAGAAGAUGACGGUACUAUAUGAAUAAGCGCCGGCUAACUCCGUGCCAGCAGCCGCGGUAAUACGGAGGGCGCAAGCGUUACUCGGAAUCACUGGGCGUAAAGAGCGUGUAGGCGGAUUAAAAAGUCAGAAGUGAAAUCCUAUAGCUUAACUAUAGAACUGCUUCUGAAACUCUUAAUCUAGAAUAUGGGAGAGGUAGAUGGAAUUUCUGGUGUAGGGGUAAAAUCCGUAGAGAUCAGAAGGAAUACCGAUUGCGAAGGCGAUCUACUAGAACAUUAUUGACGCUGAGACGCGAAAGCGUGGGGAGCAAACAGGAUUAGAUACCCCGGUAGUC